Molecule: ribosomal RNA, 541 nt
Filed under: Hylomyscus pamfi
Lineage: Eukaryota; Metazoa; Chordata; Mammalia; Rodentia; Muridae
Description: partial 16S ribosomal RNA
Rfam family: Bacterial large subunit ribosomal RNA
Source: RNAcentral
CACCUCUAGCAUUACAAGUAUUAGAGGCAUUGCCUGCCCAGUGACUAUAGUUAAACGGCCGCGGUAUCCUGACCGUGCAAAGGUAGCAUAAUCAUUUGUUCCUUAAUUAGGGACUAGUAUGAAUGGCUAGACGAGGGAUCAACUGUCUCUUAUUUUCAAUCAGUGAAAUUGACCUUCCAGUGAAGAGGCUGGAAUACAAUAAUAAGACGAGAAGACCCUAUGGAGCUUAAAUUAACAAGCUUAAUUAUUACCUAAAUAUCCUAAUGGAACAAAACAAAAAAUAUAAGCUUAAAAUUUUGGUUGGGGUGACCUCGGAGAACAAAAAAUCCUCCGAAAGAUAUAUAACAUAGACCUACAAGUCAAAGUAACUCAGUUAUCUUAUUGACCCAAAAAUUGAUCAACGGACCAAGUUACCCUAGGGAUAACAGCGCAAUCCUAUUUAAGAGUCCAUAUCGACAAUAGGGUUUACGACCUCGAUGUUGGAUCAGGACAUCCCAAUGGUGCAGAAGCUAUUAAUGGUUCGUUUGUUCAACGAUUAAAG